AAAGCUCUUUUGUCAGGGAAGAAACGGGUGGGGCUAAUAUCCCUAUCUAAUGACGGUACCUGAAGAAUAAGCACCGGCUAACUACGUGCCAGCAGCCGCGGUAAUACGUAGGGUGCAAGCGUUAAUCGGAAUUACUGGGCGUAAAGCGUGCGCAGGCGGUUUUGUAAGUCUGUCGUGAAAUCCCCGGGCUCAACCUGGGAAUGGCGAUGGAGACUGCAAGGCUAGAGUUUGGCAGAGGGGGGUAGAAUUCCACGUGUAGCAGUGAAAUGCGUAGAGAUGUGGAGGAACACCGAUGGCGAAGGCAGCCCCCUGGGUCAAAACUGACGCUCAUGCACGAAAGCGUGGGGAGCAAAC
Molecule: ribosomal RNA, 354 nt
Filed under: uncultured beta proteobacterium
Lineage: Bacteria; Pseudomonadati; Pseudomonadota; Betaproteobacteria
Description: bacterial SSU rRNA
Rfam family: Bacterial small subunit ribosomal RNA
Source: RNAcentral